GAAAUGCGAUAAGUAGUGUGAAUUGCAGAAUUCAGUGAAUCAUCGAAUCUUUGAACGCACAUUGCGCCCCUUGGUAUUCCAUGGGGCAUGCCUGUUCGAGCGUCAUUUGUACCUUCAAGCUUUGCUUGGUGUUGGGUGUUUGUCUCGCCUCUGCGCGCAGACUCGCCUCAAAACAAUUGGCAGCCGGCGUAUUGAUUUCGGAGCACAGUACAUCUCGCGCUUUGCACUCAUAACGACGACGUCCAAAAAGUACAUUUUUUACACUCUUGACCUCGGAUCAGGUAGGGAUACCCGCUGAACUUAAGC
RNAcentral lists this unclassified non-coding RNA (306 nucleotides) under plant metagenome. Its description in RNAcentral is "partial contains 5.8S ribosomal RNA, internal transcribed spacer 2, and large subunit ribosomal RNA". The stretch from base 1 to 105 matches the Rfam family "5.8S ribosomal RNA", at positions 50 to 154 of the family's 154-position model. The record is from RNAcentral.